GUGCCAAAGAUCGUGAGAUGCAUCCACGGAAGCGUGGAGUGCAUCAGCACGGCACCAGCCCGGCAGAGACUGGACAUACUCAUCCUCUGGCUGACCAACCAGUGGCCAAUGAAGGUGGUCAGGAGCCUGCUGAAGAUCUCGCCGUCGUCUGACAGGUACUGGCAUGCCAACCUUAAGGGCUUCUUGUAUGGGAGGGGAGGGGACAGGAGACUUUCUGCCUGACGGAUCCACAGAAAACUCCACGCUACGUUUACAGAGCAGGGCCCUCCAUGCCGCCACGCUUUCCAGCCGUGGUUCCUUGGCCACAGCCAGGGCAGCCAGAGCUGACCAGGCCAGCCAGGAUCCCCGCCACCACGCUCCCUGCCCGCCCCACAUGAAUGUCAUCCCUGCCCUCUCCUGCUUGCCCAGCCAGGGCUCUCGGGGCACCCCAAGUGAGGGGGGCGGCAGGGCCAGGGCUGCAGGACAGCCUGGGGCCUGCGGGGCCUGUGCAGGCCAUGGCGCCGUGGCGGAGCGUGCCCUGCUGACUGAGUGCUCUGUCCUUGCAGCGCUGCCCUGGCCAUGUGGGAAGCAAUGUUUUCCCACAACCAGACUAUGGAGAAGGUCCUGAGGGAGACACUUGACGUGCUCCAGGACCAGCAGCUGCGCAGGCUCCCUGGCCUCAUCACAGACGACAACUGCAUCCGUCACUUGGCGGUGAGUUACCGGGCGAGGCCUUGCUCCUCUUCAGGGCCGUGCGUGUGCCUCUGCCCAUCUACCCCCAAACUGGCAGCUCCUCCAGGACGUACGUGCAGGAGGAGCAGGCAAAGAAAGGCUGCUGGGUGCUGCCAGGCACGGGGCACUCGGGGGCCCUGCGGCCCUCCACAGCCACAGCUGCCCCAGGACGGGCUGCCUGGCCCCGGUGCCCCUGGCCUGAGCCGCCAGGAGAGCCAGGAGCCGCACGGUGCCUGCAGCCCUGCAGGCUCUGGCAGUCUCUCGAUGCUGUGUUCAUUUCAGCUGCUGGCCCGCGCGGAUGUUGGACAAGAGGACUUGGAUGCCGUGUACCAUCUCCAGAGGCUCUUGAAGCAUCCCAGCCAAGCGAUGCACUCACUGGUGCUCCACGUUCUCCUCCCCGUGUCAGAGAGACCUGCAAUGGUGAGCAGGGCACACUUAUGUGAAGGCCGGUGCGCCUUUGUCCUGAAGGUAUCAUGGCCUACUCACGGCCAGCUGGGAGGUCUCUGCUCUGCCUGCAGCUCUGUGGCGCAGAAGAAACGAUCAAGAAAUGGAGGCCAUGGAGGGGCCCAGCGGCUCUCUGGGGAGCUUUCCAUGCGUGCAGGGUUACCAACCCACGUACCUGUUGGGGCUGGUCCGAAAAGGGGACACAGAGUCUUUGCUCAGCUGCCCUCCUUUUCCUACCCUUGCUCCCCUCACAUACGCAAUGGGUGCCCAUGGCCAUUGCCUGUCUGGUGGCUGCUUCCCGGUGCGCUUCUUGUGCUGCCUCUCCACAAGCAAGAUGGGAGCCUGGUGCUCUGGCACCACAGGGUUUUGGCCAGGGUGGCCUUUCAUUGCUUCUCCAAAAGGAAACUGUCCUUCAUACAGGCAAGAAGAAUUCCGGUCCUGCUGCCAGGCAUCAUGGAGGGCCUGCAGGCUGCCAAGGCUGACACCAAGUUGAAGGCCCUGCUUCUCAUCGGAAACGUCAUGGGUCAUGUGAAGAGGAAGCAGGCCAGCUCCAUCGCUCUGCAAGUGGCUGGGGAGAUCCUGCCACUGUUUAACGACGAGUGCAGCCAGGUGCAAGAGCUCUCCAUCUGCCUCUACAACAAAGUGAUGCAGCUUGUGUUACGGUGCCACAGGAGACAGAUGAAGAAGAUCGUGCGGAGGGGCCUGCUCCCACUCUUUUUUCACCUGAGCGACCAGACCCAGAGCGUGGCCAAGGCCUCCGUGGAAGCCCUUGUCACCGCUGCAGACUUCCUGAAGCGGGAAGAACUCAAGCGCCUGGCCCAGACAGAGCAGACCUGGAGGAUCGCAGAGUGCUUGGUAACGACGACGCCCUGGUCCCAGCUCGAUAAUCCUGCCCAGCUUCCCCAGAGCACGCCGCCUAAAGCCGCAUCCUUGCUCCCUUCCCUCCGGCACAGAGCCCAGAGCGCUCCUCUGCAGGCCCCUCUCCCCUCCCCGUCCCCUGGAAGCUGAAGGAGCCCCUGGCCCACCUGGGUCUCAGCAGCAGGACAGAGGGGGCUGAGCACCCCCCAGCCCCCUUGGCCAGCGGCUCUCUCCAAACCUCAGCCCCACAGGGCUGGUGGCUGGGAGAUGGGAACGGCCGGAGGGGAAGGGGGGGCGUUGGCAGGAGGGGGUGGUCUGUCCAGCUGGGCAGGGUCUGCCAGCCCCGUAACCUUGUGCUCUCUCCAGCUCGUGCAGGACAAGAGGAUGGUGGAGGAAUACCUGCAGCAGAGCCUGCCGUACCUGCAGCACACUCAGGUCACCUUGCGCGAGGCAGCCGUGAGGUUCAUCGGUGAGCCACAGCCCCCGGCGUCCCUCUUUUGGCAGCCUUUGGCAGCCCCAGCUUCUGCAGUGCCCAGAGAGUCCCUCCCCGUCCUGGACUGGGUCCCCAGGGGCCCCGUGCCACCCC
Anser cygnoides (Swan goose) is the source of this 2599-nucleotide long non-coding RNA. Lineage: Eukaryota; Metazoa; Chordata; Aves; Anseriformes; Anatidae. The record is from Ensembl.